GCUAAUCAAGCUUAGUGAUAGCUGGUUCUCCGCGAAAUCUAUGUAAGUAGAGAUAUUUUUUUUUAUUUUUACAGGUAAAGUAAUUUUUUUUACUCGAGGGGGUAAAAGGAAACCUAAGAAUUGUAAAAAUAUUUUAUAAAUAAACAGACUUUCGGCGCUAAGGUUGUAAGUCGAGAGGGAAACAGCCCAGAUUGUCGGAUAAAGUUGUUAAUUAUUAUUAAUAUAAAGGUUGUAGCAGGGUUAGGUACAAGAGGUGGGUUUAGAAGCAGCCAUCCUUUAAAGAAAGCGUAAAAGCUCAAUGUACCCACGUAAUUAAUUUAUUUAAUAUUAGACGUCACUAUGAUCACAAAUUAAUGCAAAAAUAAAUAAACUGAAUCCACAACAACCAAAUGGUUGGGUAGCGGAGCGAUUACUAUAUCGUUGAAGCAAAAAUGAUAAUUUUUGUAGAGAUAUGUAAUUUGAUUAUGUUAACAUGAGUAAUAAAUAUCCUGUGAGAAACAGGUUCGUCUAAUAAUAUAUGGUUUUGCCGUUAAGAUAAUCUUACGGUAAUAAUUUGAACCGGAUUCUAAGUAAUUGACUUUAGUUAAUUAUGAUGAAAUAUUUACCUAACUUGUACUUAAAUUGCAAUAUAAAAAUAUAUUCUGAUUUAAUUAUAACUGGAAAAAAGUAAAUUAUAACCGUACAAAAACUAACACAAGUUAUUUGGCUGAGUAAGCUGAGACGAAAGAAGUAAUAGUAUUAAAGGAACUCUGCAAAAUUACUUUGUAACUUCGGGAUAAAAAGUAUCGAUAAGAUUAAGAAAAGAGGGGGUAGCGACUGUUUAAUAAAAACAUAAGACUUUGCAAAAUAGAAAUAUGAUGUAUAAAGUCUGACACCUGCCCAGUGCUGCAAGGUGAAAUAUUUUUAUUUACGUAAAAAUAAUAAACCCCAGUAAACGGCGGCCGUAACCCUGACGGUCCUAAGGUAGCAAAAUCCCUUGACGGGUAAGUUCCGUCCUGCACGAAUGGUGUAACGACUGCCCCACUGUCUCUAAUACUAAUUCUAUGAAAUUGAAGUUAUCGUGAAGAUGCGAUAAAGUACAGCUAGACGGAGAGACCCUAUGCACCUUUACUACUAUCAAAUUAAAGUGAAAAUAAAUAAAAAUAUAGAUAUGUAGGAGCUUCUGUGAGCAUGGAAAACUACUUUUUUAUUAAUUUAAUUUCGUCGGGAAACUGAUUUAUAGUUUGAGAGGUAGUUUGGCUGGGGCGGCCGCCUCCUAAAUAGUACCGGAGGUGUGCAUAUGACUUAAUUUAUGCUACCGCAAAGAUAUUCAAUAAAUUGAUAAUUAAGUUUGAUUUAUACACUUACAAGUGUAUAAAGGGUGAGAGCCUGCUAUAAUGACCCGGUAUGACAAAAAGGCAGUCAUAUCGAUUAACGAAUAAAAGGUACGCUAGGGAUAACAGGCUUAUGUUUUCCGAGAGUCCACAUUGAAGAAAACGUUUGGCACCUCGAUGUCGGCUCAUCAUAACCUGGUGGUGCAUCUGCUGCCAAGGGUUCGGCUGUUCGCCGAUUAAAAUGGUACGUGAGCUGGGUUUAAAACGUCGUGAGACAGUUUGGUCCCUAUCUACUGUACAAAAAGAAUAGUAAAUUAUUUUUACCUCAGUACGAGAGGACCGGGGACACGAAGCCAACUGUUUAGCAAUUGUUUUUUGCAAGUUGCGAGGCUGCGCUUAUUAAAUUGUAACCACUGCGGUGGGAACUUGGUAAUUAUACUGUUCUAAUAGAAAAAUUUUAGAUAAAUUUUUUGUAUAACAGAUGUUGAUUUAAUUUUAUGUUAAAUCACAGGUGAAAAAAUAGAGAUAUUUUAGCCUAAAUGUUAUGUUUUACUAAUAUAA
This 1874-nucleotide ribosomal RNA is filed under the name wastewater metagenome. Its description in RNAcentral is "bacterial LSU rRNA". It matches the Rfam family "Bacterial large subunit ribosomal RNA", at positions 828 to 2925 of the family's 2925-position model. The record is from RNAcentral.